GGGACAGUAGCUCAGUUGGUUAGAGCGCUACGCUCACAUCGUAGAGGUCAGGGGUUCAACUCCCUUCUGUCCCACCA
RNAcentral lists this transfer RNA (77 nucleotides) under Calditrichia bacterium. Its description in RNAcentral is "tRNA-Val". It matches the Rfam family "tRNA". Rfam says of the family: Transfer RNA (tRNA) molecules are approximately 80 nucleotides in length. Their secondary structure includes four short double-helical elements and three loops (D, anti-codon, and T loops). Further hydrogen bonds mediate the characteristic L-shaped molecular structure. tRNAs have two regions of fundamental functional importance: the anti-codon, which is responsible for specific mRNA codon recognition, and the 3' end, to which the tRNAs corresponding amino acid is attached (by aminoacyl-tRNA synthetases). tRNAs cope with the degeneracy of the genetic code in two manners: having more than one tRNA (with a specific anti-codon) for a particular amino acid; and 'wobble' base-pairing, i.e. permitting non-standard base-pairing at the 3rd anti-codon position. RNAcentral also lists the same sequence under 1 other name. The record is from RNAcentral. Lineage: Bacteria; Pseudomonadati; Calditrichota; Calditrichia.